GCCAGCCAUUGCGGAUUGGUCGGAAGUCGUUCGAAAUGUUAAGAGUGACGUCCGAAGACUGAUUGCUAUCAAGGACAAUGAGCAGCCUGGCGAUGAAAAGUAUGCUCGAACGAACUUUGGAUACGUAUUUUUCUCGGACAAGGACAAUUCAUCAGCUCUCUCAUAUCAAAAGUCUAAUCCGAUGGAUAUAUACGCCUCGAGUGUUAUUAUCGGCUCCAAUUUUGGUAUGAUCGAGCAGAUUGCAGCUGUAAGGCAUACCAAAAAGUGUACGAGAGAGAUGUGAUCACCAGUAUUUAGUGGUAAAGGAGGCUUUCCAGGUGACUGGAUUCUCUAUUGGUGACAGUAAGGGAAACGGCAUAGAUAAUGUGUUGAUGUUGAGUGCACAACAAUCCAUAUUUAAGUUUAUUUAAGAAAUUUAGUUUAAAAAGUCAUAAUUAUUAUUAUUUCAGUUAUUUUAAAUUCAUGUAUAGUCAUAUAUAGUAAAUC
Long non-coding RNA from Selaginella moellendorffii, 486 nucleotides. RefSeq lists it as uncharacterized. The record is from RefSeq and is a predicted model, not a curated record. The transcript is spliced from 3 exons. Lineage: Eukaryota; Viridiplantae; Streptophyta; Lycopodiopsida; Selaginellales; Selaginellaceae.